UCCGUAGGUGAACCUGCGGAAGGAUCAUUACAGUAUGAAUAGAGGGAUGGUGCUGGCCCCUUUGGGGGCAUGUGCACGCCUUCAAUUUCAAUCCACAUACACCUGUGCACCACGGACGAGUUUUGGACUCCACUGUGUAAUUCAGUGAGUCGUUUCUUGGGGGGGAUAUACUAUAUAUGAUAUACCCUUCAAGGAACUGAGUCUGGACUCUGUCUAUUUUCAUUACACUAAUGCCUGUAUAAAAUGCAUGUAUUUUGGCUCUACGGAGCUCUAAAUAAAAUACAACUUUCAACAACGGAUCUCUUGGCUUCCGCAUCGAUGAAGAACGCAGCGAACGUGCGAAACGUAAUGUGAAUUGCAGAAUUCAGUGAAUCAUCGAAUCUUUGAACGCAUCUUGCACUCCUUGGUAUUCCGAGGAGUAUGCCUGUUUGAGUGUCGUGAAUACUCUCAAACUUGACCUUUUCUUAAUUGAAAUGGGGUCAUAGUUUGGACUUGGAUGCUGCUGCGUUGGCCUUAGGGUCGGUUGCGGCUCGUCUCGAAAUGCAUUAGCUGGUCGACUCUUGGUCUAUAAAAGCUAUCAACGGUGUGAUAAGAAACAAUUCAAUUUGUUGAUUGUAGCGCUGUUGUUUAUGGACCGUGUCAAUGACUGCUUCUAAUAGUCCAUUAAGUUGGACAAUAGAUUUAUUUUCAUGUCAUCUGACCUCAAAUCAGGUAGGACUACCCGCUGAACUUAAGCAUAUCAAUAAGCGGAGGAAAAGAAACUAACAAGGAUUCCCCUAGUAACGGCGAGUGAAGCGGGAAGAGCUCAAAUUUGAAAUCUGGCGGUCUACGGCCGUCCGAGUUGUAAUCUAGAGAAGUGUUUUCCGUGCUGGACCGUGUACAAGUCCCUUGGAAGAGGGCGUCAUAGAGGGUGAGAAUCCCGUCUUUGACACGGACUACCAGUGCUCUGUGAUGCACUCUCGAAGAGUCGAGUUGUUUGGGAAUGCAGCUCAAAUUGGGUGGUAAAUUCCAUCUAAAGCUAAAUAUUGGCGGAAGACCGAUAGCGAACAAGUACCGUGAGGGAAAGAUGAAAAGCACUUUGGAAAGAGAGUUAAACAGUACGUGAAAUUGUUGAAAGGGAAACGCUUGAAGU
RNAcentral lists this small RNA (1132 nucleotides) under uncultured fungus. RNAcentral's name for it is "eukaryotic LSU rRNA". The stretch from base 698 to 1132 matches the Rfam family "Eukaryotic large subunit ribosomal RNA", at positions 1 to 429 of the family's 3401-position model. Lineage: Eukaryota; Fungi. The record is from RNAcentral.